AUUUUUUCUAUACAUGAAGAUAUUUCAUAUAUUUAGAACAUUGAUGUACCGUCCCAGGCUGAAUGUUUAUAUGUUGUUAGUUCUAAUCAGAUAACAUUUAUGUUCCAAUAAAGUCUACCCUUCAGUUCAGAUGGUCAAAUAGUUAAUUUUGGACUUUUUUUAAUUUUCAGCUGCCAUAUUUAAACACUGGAAGUAAUCCUGAAGAAUGCCAGCUUUCUAAACGGGUUUGGAGUGUAGUAUUCCGCAACACAAAGCGUGCAAGGUAUUGCUGCCCUUUUGAUACAAAAUGGUUACAAGUGGCACUGAGAUAAAUGAUGGUAAACGUUGUUAAAAUUUAACACGAAACCCAACGACAGGCACGAGCAAAUACAUUGACAAUUCUGGAUGUCGCAUAUUGGUUCCACUAGCUUUUGCUAACAUAUUUCGGCCAUUUAACAAACUGAAGUACCGUGCUGCUCAAAGCAUGAUGGUAUCGGCAUGAUGAUGCACGGCAGUUGAUUUAAAGGUGCUAGGCAGAAGCCAAUGAUGAACUCUGAAUUGUUUUGUUAACAUUAUGCCAUAAUGUCUAAAAACACCCCAAUAAACUGUUCAUAAGAGCAUAUCGAU
Long non-coding RNA from Sabethes cyaneus, 606 nucleotides. RefSeq lists it as uncharacterized. Lineage: Eukaryota; Metazoa; Arthropoda; Insecta; Diptera; Culicidae. The record is from RefSeq and is a predicted model, not a curated record. The transcript is spliced from 6 exons.